Molecule: unclassified non-coding RNA, 338 nt
Filed under: soil metagenome
Description: partial contains 5.8S ribosomal RNA, internal transcribed spacer 2, and large subunit ribosomal RNA
Rfam family: 5.8S ribosomal RNA (bases 1-120)
Source: RNAcentral
GAUGAAGAUCGCAGCGAAAUGCGAUAAGUAGUGUGAAUUGCAGAAUUCAGUGAAUCAUCGAAUCUUUGAACGCACAUUGCGCCCUUUGGUAUUCCUUAGGGCAUGCCUGUUCGAGCGUCAUUUAAACCUUCAAGCUCAGCUUGGUGAUGGGCGACUGUCCCCCCCCCUCGCGGGGGGGACUCGCCUCAAAAACAUUGGCGGCCGGUACAUUGGCUUCGAGCGCAGCAGAAACGCGGUCUCGAGCCCGGUGGAUCGGCUCCCAUAAGCCUAUUCUUUUAUUUUGACCUCGGAUCAGGUAGGGAUACCCGCUGAACUUAAGCAUAUCAAUAAGCGGAGGA